GGAGGGGUGCCAGAGUGGUUGAAUGGACCGGUUUUGAAAACCGGCGUGGGGUUUUGCCCUACCGCGAGUUCGAAUCUCGCCCCCUCCGCCA
RNAcentral lists this transfer RNA (91 nucleotides) under Planctomycetota bacterium. Its description in RNAcentral is "tRNA-Ser". It matches the Rfam family "tRNA". From Rfam's summary of the family: Transfer RNA (tRNA) molecules are approximately 80 nucleotides in length. Their secondary structure includes four short double-helical elements and three loops (D, anti-codon, and T loops). Lineage: Bacteria; Pseudomonadati; Planctomycetota. The record is from RNAcentral.